Molecule: small nucleolar RNA, 131 nt
Organism: Apodemus sylvaticus (European woodmouse)
Lineage: Eukaryota; Metazoa; Chordata; Mammalia; Rodentia; Muridae
Product: small nucleolar RNA SNORA17
Exons: 1
Source: RefSeq, a predicted model, not a curated record
UCCAUUCCUAGAGUUUUGCAGGUGAUGAGACUGUAUCCUGUGUGGAUCCAUAGUUGACAGAGAUGAGAGAGUCCAUGUCUACACUCAGUGUUCUUACCUUCGAACAUCUGAAUGAUUAGUAGCUUAAAAUU